GAGAGCUCCAUUUGCGUUAUAUUUUUAAUGGAACCACUUUCUGUCUCUCUCUCAUUGUGUUAGUUUCAUCAAUGGAAUUUUUGCAGUACGCUGGGAUCCGCGUUUCUCGAUUGCAGGGACAACAGCCAGUUUCUCAUUCUCUUCUUAUCUGCCUGUAAUCUCCAUCGCUGCGGAUGAAUUCUCUGUUUUCUGUCAUUAGUUAUAUGCAAUCUUAAUAUUUUGAAGAAUUAGAGGUGCUGGUAGGAACUAUUUUAGGAGGUACUUAAGCUGUCUGUGUUUGGGAUUUUUGAGUGGCGAAUGAUGAUGAAUGCGAGGGAGCAUCAAACGGUACCGCUUUCAGUUCUGCUAAAGCGUGAAUUGGCAAAUGAGAGGAUAGAGAAACCUGAGAUUUCGCAUGGGCAGGCUAGUCAGAGUAAGAAAGGGGAGGACUUCACGUUGCUCAAGACCGAAUGCCAAAGGGUUGGCGACGGAAGCACAUAUUCCGUUUUUGGGUUAUUUGAUGGACACAACGGGUCUGCAGCUGCAAUAUACACAAAAGAGAAUCUUCUAAAUAAUGUCAUAAAUGCCAUUCCACCUGAUCUUAACAGAGAUGAAUGGGUAGCAGCAUUGCCAAGGGCUUUGGUUGCUGGCUUUGUGAAAACAGAUAAAGAGUUUCAAUCAAAAGCACAAACAUCAGGGACAACCGUCACCUUUGUGAUAAUUGAAGGAUGGGUCAUCACUGUUGCAUCUGUUGGAGAUUCUCGCUGCAUUCUUGAAUCUGCUGAAGGAGAUAUCUAUUACUUGUCAGCAGAUCAUAGGCUUGAAUGCAACGUGGAAGAGAGGGAGCGUAUUACUGCUAGUGGAGGUGAGGUGGGACGACUUAAUACUGGUGGUGGUGCAGAGAUUGGCCCUUUGAGAUGUUGGCCUGGUGGCUUGUGCCUUUCACGAUCUAUUGGCGAUGUGGAUGUAGGUGAAUUCAUUGUCCCUGUUCCUUAUGUGAAGCAAGUUAAGUUAUCUUCAGGGGGCGGUAGGCUUAUUAUCUCAAGUGAUGGUGUUUGGGAUGCUUUAUCUGCCGAAGAGGCUCUUGAUUGUUGUCGUGGGAUGCCUGCAGAAGCCGCUGCUGCACAAAUUGUGAAAGUAUGUUCUUACUAGCAUUUUUCAAUAAAAUAUUUUUCUGUCUGUAAAUUUUGGAAACUGAUGGAACUGCAAUCAGUAUCCAGGUACCAUCAUGCACUGCAAUGACAUCUGACAUGUUGGCUUUGGCAAUUUUCAUAUUUAUUUAUUUUUCCUGUAGCUUGUGUUUAACUGAGUUCUUUUUGCAGGAAGCCGUGCACGCGAAGGGACUUAGAGAUGAUACAACCUGCAUUGUGAUUGAUAUAUCACAACCAGAGAAGCUGGCUGCUCCUUUGCCAGCACCAAAGAAGCAGGUAAAGGGAGUGCUCAAGUCCAUGUUUCGCAGAAAAUCCUCUGAAUCAUCCUCUCAAGUUGAUAAAGAAUAUCUUGAGCCAGAUGUGGUAGAGGAAUUAUAUGAGGAAGGAUCAGCCAUGCUUUCUGAGAGGUUUGUGUUGUGAAGAUAUUAAGUAUUAGCUAAAAUUAUAUGUUGAUUCUCAGAUUGAGCUUGUCGCAAAUGAAUGCCUGGAUUCAUUUUGUAUGAAUGUAUGUAUAGCUCUUGCCUGUUAUGCGUUCACACCUGUGAUCUGCCCAUUUCGGAUGAUUAUAUUAGUUUCUAGUCUUUUGACAUGAGGCAUGUUUGUGUUGGAUGCAGAUUAGAUACAAAGUAUCCACUUUGCAACAUGUUUAAGUUGUUCACAUGCGCAGUCUGUCAAGUAGAGAUAAAACCUGAAGAGGGUAUUUCAAUACAUGCUGGCUCAACUAAUUCAAGAAAGCUGCGUCCCUGGGAUGGUCCUUUCCUUUGCUUAAGUUGCCAGGAGAAGAAAGAAGCCAUGGAAGGAAAGAGACCAUCCGGAGGUACAACAGCCCUCUAAUUGUCUCUCUCUGUGCAUUGCUUUAGAACUAAAAUGUAUAAAGAUUCAUAAAAUUGUCCUUGUAUUAUUUUUACAGAUAGACAUAGUAGCGAAAGUGACUAGCUUGCCAUCCUUGUAUUUGUGUUUCUCAAGCACUAGCAAUUGUUUCAAAGGUCAACAUAAAUGGGAACAUGGAACCUUUUCACACUCAUAGCCCUGGUUUGAGCCAUUUAUGUUCAAGCUUGCAUUUGGACCUCUUGCAAUUUUUUCCUUGCUUCAAGUCAGAAGACCAGAGUUAGAGCAAUGCACAAUUUUAAAAAUUUGUUUCUGACUUGAGGAGUAAUAGCUGUUGUGGUUGCCACCUCAAAGAUUCGUGCAAGACUUUGAUAAAGCUUGCCAUUGCAUAGUAACACGUCAGAGCUUAUUUGUUUUCCCAUAUGAAUCAAUUCUUGUCCAAUUUGUAGAGCUAACAUCAAGUCAUAACGACCUUCAUGUGUAAUAUUGUUAUAUAGGGAGUUUGAGGGUUACUCAAUGCUAGUUCAUUCAAAAUGAGGCAAAACCUGUGUUAGCAGCCUGCUGUAUGAAUAUGUUCGUGUAGUAUUUUAUUGAACCUUUAUUUUGUCAAGCAGCAAUGUGAACUUGAGAAAUAGAAAAAUUGGCUUUGUUCCUUCGUGUCUCCUUCCCCCUGACUCCAUAUGUCAAGCUUCAUCAUUUCAUUCAAUUUCUAUCUUGGAAAUCAUCAGUAUAUAAGAUGGUCAUCUCACAGAGGGAGUGUGUCCCCACUCCUGAGCAAAAAAUGGAGUGCAAGUUCUCAUUUUUAUGCCUCUUCAAAUUCCUUUUGUUUGAACUUGGCCUGGUCUGAUGAGUAGCAUCACAGAGCACGGCUGUGGUAUUUGGGGCGUCAAAUUCACAUGAUUGGACCAUGUUUUGCUGGACAACAUGUGGACACUGGUUUGGCUGGAAGCUAUUGGAGUCGUCAAACUACACGUGGCUACCAGCUUAUUUAUUGUGACAUCUCUGUA
This 2965-nucleotide unclassified non-coding RNA is filed under the name Hevea brasiliensis (rubber tree). The record is from RNAcentral. Lineage: Eukaryota; Viridiplantae; Streptophyta; Magnoliopsida; Malpighiales; Euphorbiaceae.